This 382-nucleotide ribosomal RNA is filed under the name uncultured eukaryote. Its description in RNAcentral is "partial 18S ribosomal RNA". It matches the Rfam family "Eukaryotic small subunit ribosomal RNA", at positions 592 to 976 of the family's 1831-position model. The record is from RNAcentral.
CAAUAGCGUAUAUUAAAGUUGUUGCAGUUAAAAAGCUCGUAGUUGGAUUUCUGGUUGAAGCGACCGGUCGGGCGUUGAUUCGUCUGCACUGGAGUCGGUUUUGGCCAUCCUCUAGGAAAGUGCGUCUGUUAUUAAGUUAUCGGGCGUAUGAUCCUGGUCUUUUACUGUGAAAAAAUUAGAGUGUUUAAAGCAGGCCUUCGCCUUGAAUACAUUAGCAUGGAAUAAUAAGAUAGGACUUUGGUCUAUUUUGUUGGUUUGCAGACCGAAGUAAUGAUUAAUAGGGAUAGUUGGGGGUAUUUAUAUUCCGAUGUCAGAGGUGAAAUUCUUAGAUUUUCGGAAGAUAAACUUAUGCGAAAGCAUUUACCAAGGAUGUUUUCAUUAA